GGAUAAGAGGGUUAUCUGGCUACGACAUCUGUCACUCCACUGAUUGCCAGGCUUGAUUCGGCUCAUCUGGCUGGCUAAUUGGGUGUCCCCUUCCUCCCUCACCGCUCCAUGUGCGUCCCUCCCGAAGCUGCGCGCUCGGUAGAAGAGGACGACCUUCCCCGGUAAAGGAGAGGACCGUUCUUCGGUCAAGGGUAUACGAGUAGCUGCGCUCCCCUGCUAGAACCUCCAAACAAGCUCUCAAGGUCCAUUUGUAGGAGAACGUAGGGUAGUCAAGCUUCCGAGACUCCAGACACAUCCAAAUGAGGCUAUGUGUGUGGCAGUCUGCCUUUCUUU
This is an unclassified non-coding RNA of Mustela putorius furo (domestic ferret), 333 nucleotides long. Its record names the gene 7SK. It matches the Rfam family "7SK RNA". Rfam says of the family: 7SK was discovered as an abundant small nuclear RNA in the mid-70s but a possible function has only recently been suggested. Two independent studies have found that 7SK RNA binds the CDK9/cyclin T complex (known as elongation factor P-TEFb). P-TEFb activates transcription by phosphorylating the C-terminal domain of RNA polymerase II. NCBI's taxonomy places the organism in Eukaryota, Metazoa, Chordata, Mammalia, Carnivora, Mustelidae. The record is from Ensembl.